Molecule: small RNA, 1637 nt
Filed under: Pongo abelii (Sumatran orangutan)
Lineage: Eukaryota; Metazoa; Chordata; Mammalia; Primates; Hominidae
Description: retained intron
Source: RNAcentral
AACAUUCUGCUUUUCCUGUUCUGUGUUUCAGAUUUUUCUACACCACCGCCACACUCAUCAUAGCCUUCACCUCUGCAGGCUCAGCUGUGCUGCUCUUCCUGGCCAUGCCGAUGCUCACCAUUGGGGGAAUCCUGUUUCUCAUCACCAACCUGCAGAUUGGGAACCUAUUUGGCCAACACCGUUCGACCAUCAUCACUCUCUACAAUGGAGCAUUUGACUCUUCCUCGGCAGUCUUCCUUAUUAUCAAGCUUCUUUAUGAAAAAGGCAUCAGCCUCAGGGCCUCCUUCAUCUUCCUCUCUGUCUGCAGUACCUGGCAUGUAGCACGCACUUUCCUCCUGAUGCCCCGGGGGCACAUCCCAUACCCACUGCCCCCCAACUACAGCUAUGGCCUGUGCUCUGGGAAUGGCACCACAAAGGAAGAGAAGGAAACAGCUGAGCAUGAAAACAGGGAGCUACAGUCAAAGGAGUUCCUUUCAGCAAAGGAAGAGACCCCAGGGGCAGGGCAGAAGCAGGAACUCCGCUCCUUCUGGAGCUACGCUUUCUCUCAGCGCUUUGCCUGGCACCUGGUGUGGCUGUCUGUGAUACAGUUGUGGCACUACCUCUUCAUUGGCACUCUCAACUCCUUGCUGACCAACAUGGCUGGUGGGGACAUGGCACGAGUCAGCACCUACACAAAUGCCUUUGCCUUCACUCAGUUCGGAGUGCUGUGUGCCCCCUGGAAUGGCCUGCUCAUGGACCGGCUUAAAGAGAAGUACCAGAAGGAAGCAAGAAAGACAGUCUUUUAAAAUCCGAGGACCACAUUCUUUGUGCUUUCCAAAUCAUCACCUGCCCCAUGCAACUUACAGGGAUAAAGCCAAGAUGAAACUCCCCCUACUUCUGGCUCUUCUAUUUGGGGCAGUUUCUGCUCUUCAUCUGAGGUCCGAGACUUCCACCUUUGAGACCCCUUUGGGUGCUAAGACGCUGCCUGAGGAUGAGGAGACACCAGAGCAGGAGAUGGAGGAGACCCCUUGCCGGGAGCUGGAGGAAGAGGAGGAGUGGGGCUCUGGAAGUGAAGAUGCCUCCAAGGAAGAUGGGGCUGUUGAGUCUAUCUCAGUCCCAGACAUGGUGGACAAAAACCUUACGUGUCCUGAGGAAGAGGACACAGUAAAAGUGGUGGGCAUCCCCGGGUGCCAGACCUGCCGCUACCUCCUGGUGAGAAGUCUUCAGACGUUUAAUCAAGCUUGGUUUACUUGCCGGAGGUGCUACAGGGGCAACCUGGUUUCCAUCCACAACUUCAAUACUAAUUAUCGAAUCCAGUGUUCAGUCAGCGUGCUCAACCAGGGUCAAAUCUGGAUUGGAGGCAGGAUCACAGGCUCGGGUCGCUGCAGACGCUUUCAGUGGGUUGAUGGCAGCCGCUGGAACUUUGCGUACUGGGCUACUCGCCAGCCCUGGUCCCACGGUGGUCACUGCGUGGCCCUGUGUACCCGAGGAGGCCACUGGCGUCGAACCCACUGCCUCAGAAGACUUCCUUUCAUCUGUUCCUACUGAGCUGGUCCCAGGCAGCAGUUCAGAGCUGCCCUCUCCUGGGCAGCUGCCUCCCCUCCUCUGGUUGCCGUCCCUCCCUCCACCUCCCUGCAAUAAAAUGGGUUUUACUGAAA